CACACCCGUUCCCAUACCGAACACGGAAGUUAAGCUCUCUAGCGCCGAUGGUAGUUGGGACCUUGUCCCUGUGAGAGUAGGACGUCGCCAAGCU
RNAcentral lists this ribosomal RNA (94 nucleotides) under Streptococcus pneumoniae. Lineage: Bacteria; Bacillati; Bacillota; Bacilli; Lactobacillales; Streptococcaceae. The record is from RNAcentral.